This is a long non-coding RNA of Archocentrus centrarchus (flier cichlid), 985 nucleotides long. RefSeq lists it as uncharacterized. The transcript is spliced from 3 exons. NCBI's taxonomy places the organism in Eukaryota, Metazoa, Chordata, Actinopteri, Cichliformes, Cichlidae. The record is from RefSeq and is a predicted model, not a curated record.
CCUGGCUCUCUGUGGCGACACCUGAUGCAAAAUGCGCAACAGGUGCCACCACCAGCUGUCCCCGCUCCUGUGACAAAAAAAAAAAUAAUAAUAAUAAUCAUAAUAAAAAAUCUCUUUUGUCUUUAACCUUCUGACAUCAAUUCAUGUCACACUGCUUCUUUCUUUCUUUCUGGCUUCUAGGAAGAAAUUGCUUUAUUGAUGCUACGUUUUGCCUGUUUGUACCAAAGUGAUGCAAAUGUACACAAUUUAUAAUAAUCUCACUCACUUCUUACUGGUCUCUGUUGCAGCAGUCGCGGUCCACGGACAUCAGCUGGGGGGAUGGGGGAGGGUACCCCGGUGUCUUGGUACCGCCUCAUUAAUCCCUCCGCCAUCCGGGUCAGGCUGGCACAGCCCUCAGUGCAGGUCAGCAUAUCGCAAGAAGCGACUCACAGCCAGCAACUUUGGUUUGGUUCUGGGUGCAGUCCAGCGGCACUCAUACUCACCUUCCUUAUUCAAAAUCCUGCUUGGCUAGUACAACCUCACAGAAGAAUCUAAAGCAUGUGACUGGGGAAUCCUUCACAAGCCAAAGGCCAAGCAGCUCUACACUGACUGCACUGGUGCGGCUAUCAAGGAGAGGGGACUGUUUUUAUCUGACAGUGGCCUGCUUGGUGGUUCUCCAGAUGGGACCAUCUCUGAUGACUGCAUCAUCGAGGUGAAAUGUCCAUGGUCACCCAGAGCCAAAACUCUCUUGCAGGCAGCAGAAAAUAAGGACUUUUUUUCUGGAAGUGGAUGAAGCAAGUGGUUCCCUGGCACUCAAAAAGACUCAUAACUACUGGCAUCAAAUACAGGGAAACCUACAUCUCACAGGAGCUAGCAGUUGUCACCUUAUUAUUUGGACUACAGUCGACUUUGUGAUCUUGCCUGUUCAGAGAAACCAAACUUGGGCUGUUUUUUUUUUUUUUUUUUUAGCCUGUCAUGUCUGGCAUUUUUCACAAUCGGAAUGAUG